UCAGCAUUUAAUGCUGGUCUAUUUAAAGACUGCGUUUAUGCCACCUGGAUAUGCGUCACUGGUGACUCCGCCCUUUUGUGUGCAUACGAGUGUUUUCCCGUCAAAGCUGGAAGAACACGCUGUUGAGACAUUACGGUGGGUCCAGGCUGUCAUUAAUCCUCAGCUGCGAGGUUUCACUCAGGCCUGUUAGCUGUGGCAUAUACUGUGAGCUACGGUACAAUGUGUGGUUCUGUGAUCAUUAUCUGGCAGCCAGGCCCCGGGUCGGGAGGCUAGCUUUCUUGCCGUGUGGUGGUGGUCUUUGAGCACGGAGUGUGGUUUGCCGCUUGUAACUGCUUACACUUCACUGUGUGUGUUGUGUGUGUGUGUGUGUGGUUUUGCCUAUGAUAAUUACUCUUGCUAGCCUGCCCGGCUACGGUAAAGCCUUGGUUGCCUUAAAGUUUGUUUUGUGUGUUCGUUUGGAAAAUUGUGAUGCAGUGUGGCUUCUAGAGCAAUAUUUUAUAAUUGACACUCUUGAACAUUUUUAUCCAUUUUGUGUGAUUAAAUAAAAUAUAUUUUUGUACCGUCAUCCACGUCUCUCUGCCCUCCAUGGUAAUGAACCUGUGUGCCCUAUUUCUGGGUUAUCAUUGUCCCCUGUAAACAGGGGUGGCGUAGUCUGCUUCUAUUACAUAUUAAAAUUGAGUAUUAAGAGCUUUAAUUAUUCAGUUUUUCCCCAUCGCCUCGCCACAAACUGGCGUAGUCGGCAGGGCACCGUGUUCGGCAGAGACGUGGGUACAGGUGUUUAGUGUUAGUUUUGUUUUUUGUGUUUUUUUGUAUAUUGUUUCAGGAGAAGUAGCAGCAGGACAGCAGCGUGCGUCUCGUGGAUUGAUUCUUGGCUUCGCUGUGGGCCUACUUAUUGGCAGCCAGGCCCCGGGUCGGGAGGCUAGCUUUCUUGCCGUGUGGUGGUGGUCUUUGAGCACGGAGUGUGGUUUGCCGCUUGUAACUGCUUACACUUCACUGUGUGUGUUGUGUGUGUGUGUGUGGUUUUGCCUAUGAUAAUUACUCUUGCUAGCCUGCCCGGCUACGGUAAAGCCUUGGUUGCCUUAAAGUUUGUUUUGUGUGUUCGUUUGGAAAAUUGUGAUGCAGUGUGGCUUCUAGAGCAAUAUUUUAUAAUUGACACUCUUGAACAUUUUUAUCCAUUUUGUGUGAUUAAAUAAAAUAUAUUUUUGUACCGUCAUCCACGUCUCUCUGCCCUCCAUGGUAAUGAACCUGUGUGCCCUAUUUCUGGGUUAUCAUUGUCCCCUGUAAACAGGGGUGGCGUAGUCUGCUUCUAUUACAUAUUAAAAUUGAGUAUUAAGAGCUUUAAUUAUUCAGUUUUUCCCCAUCGCCUCG
Paramisgurnus dabryanus is the source of this 1368-nucleotide long non-coding RNA. RefSeq lists it as uncharacterized. NCBI's taxonomy places the organism in Eukaryota, Metazoa, Chordata, Actinopteri, Cypriniformes, Cobitidae. The record is from RefSeq and is a predicted model, not a curated record.